RNAcentral lists this ribosomal RNA (163 nucleotides) under Polygala leucothyrsa. RNAcentral describes it as "5.8S ribosomal RNA". It matches the Rfam family "5.8S ribosomal RNA". Rfam says of the family: 5.8S ribosomal RNA (5.8S rRNA) is a component of the large subunit of the eukaryotic ribosome. Lineage: Eukaryota; Viridiplantae; Streptophyta; Magnoliopsida; Fabales; Polygalaceae. The record is from RNAcentral.
AACGACUCUCGGCAACGGAUAUCUCGGCUCUCGCAUCGAUGAAGAACGUAGCGAAAUGCGAUACUUGGUGUGAAUUGCAGAAUCCCGUGAACCAUCGAGUCUUUGAACGCAAGUUGCGCCCGACGCCUUUUGGUUGAGGGCACGUCUGCUUGGGUGUCACGCA